Long non-coding RNA from Gadus chalcogrammus (walleye pollock), 281 nucleotides. RefSeq lists it as uncharacterized. NCBI's taxonomy places the organism in Eukaryota, Metazoa, Chordata, Actinopteri, Gadiformes, Gadidae. The transcript has 3 exons. The record is from RefSeq and is a predicted model, not a curated record.
GACAGUUUUGAGCGUAGGGCCAGGCUAGUCCCCUACGUUAGUGAGAGAGAUACCUUCCGUUAGUUCCGUUAGAAAAUACAGGCAGCAGCUUGGAGCUGUCCCGGACCGUUCCCUUUAACGGGGACUUGACCCUACUGUGUGUGUCUUCAAACUUCGGUCUGCUACGACCACAGCACCAGUAUCAUCGGGGAACCACUUGGACAGACAGACAGAGAGAAAGAUCAGCACACAGCGGGUAAAGGACCCAGCCGCCCGCCAACCCCUCCCCCCUUCCCCCCCCC